Molecule: long non-coding RNA, 757 nt
Organism: Physella acuta
Lineage: Eukaryota; Metazoa; Mollusca; Gastropoda; Physidae
Source: RefSeq, a predicted model, not a curated record
UAACUCAAUGAUAAUUGCUCCGUCUCUAAGCAGUUUGAAUCUAUAAAUAGAAUAACAAAAGGAAGGAAACGAAAUUUUAAACUGAUUUCCGCCAUUAAAAAAAUAACAUGAAACCUACAGUUCACGACACAUCGCAUAGGAAUUUAAAAUAAAUAUUAGGCCUAUAGGUUUAAUACAUAUUGCUUAGAAUAUAGAAAUUUAGAUCUAGUGUUCUGGUUAGUAGUUAUUUCAUGUUUAUUAGAAUAUAGUUUAGAAUCUAAUCAUACGGCUGCAUAAAAAGAAAGUUUGAAGGAAAUAGAAUAGGAAUCUAGAGAAGCGGAGUGUUUUCCGCACUCGAGAGGAAAGAGGUUGCAGGGAACUUAGAGACUAAUCUUUGCCAACAUACUGGAUUUCUGGUGAUGACAAUAGCAGCAGAUAGUAUGCGGCUCAGUUAAUACUAAAAACAAUUGAUUUUAGUAAUUAGUGGACUAUGAGUGUGUGUUUGGCCAUCCAGAUUUCAUAACUACAACUGAUGUUCAAUUACAAGGGAUAUUAAUCAGUCUCCGUGGACUAUACACUGUGCCUAGUUUCAUCCUCAGAGACUGAUGUGUAAGCUUAAAGUAAAGACAUCAAAUCAAAGUAUCAGCCAUCAAGAGGAAAAACAUUCAAAAUCAUAUUGUGAUACACAAGUCAAGCAAGUCUGACCAGCAUUUUGAUACAGGCCAAGAAAAAGCUGGAUACUUGAUUGGAAGGGUCGCACAAAAAACAUGGGUUAUCA